AGUGAACGCUGGCGGCAGGCCUAACACAUGCAAGUCGAACGGCAGCACAGAGGAGCUUGCUCCUUGGGUGGCGAGUGGCGGACGGGUGAGGAAUACGUCGGAAUCUGCCUAUUUGUGGGGGAUAACGUAGGGAAACUUACGCUAAUACCGCAUACGACCUACGGGUGAAAGCGGAGGACCUUCGGGCUUCGCGCAGAUAGAUGAGCCGACGUCGGAUUAGCUAGUUGGCGGGGAAGGCCACCAAGGCGACGAUCCGUAGCUGGUCUGAGAGGAUGAUCAGCCACACUGGAACUGAGACACGGUCCAGACUCCUACGGGAGGCAGCAGUGGGGAAUAUUGGACAAUGGGCGCAAGCCUGAUCCAGCCAUGCCGCGUGUGUG
This 380-nucleotide ribosomal RNA is filed under the name uncultured bacterium. Its description in RNAcentral is "bacterial SSU rRNA". It matches the Rfam family "Bacterial small subunit ribosomal RNA", at positions 29 to 407 of the family's 1533-position model. The record is from RNAcentral.